UACGGAGGGUGCGAGCGUUGUCCGGAAUCAUUGGGCGUAAAGGGCGCGUAGGUGGCCCGGUCAGUUCGUGGUGAAAGCGCGGGGCUCAACCCUGCGUCGGCCAUGAAUACUGCCGCGGCUGGAGCACUGUAGAGGCAGGCGGAAUUCCGGGUGUAGCGGUGGAAUGCGUAGAGAUGUGGAGGAACACCAGUGGCGAAGGCGACUCUUUGGUCUGUAACUGACGCUGAGGCGCGAAAAGCGUGGGGGAGCAAACAGGG
RNAcentral lists this ribosomal RNA (257 nucleotides) under uncultured bacterium. RNAcentral's name for it is "partial 16S ribosomal RNA". It matches the Rfam family "Bacterial small subunit ribosomal RNA", at positions 524 to 777 of the family's 1533-position model. The record is from RNAcentral.